AGGUUCAAGAAGUUGUCAAGCAGCUGUGAAUGCUAACUUCUUUGGUUCGGGUUAAGCUCUCAGGGUUUGUGAACAGUAGAAAUACUUUUACGGAAAAGUUACCUAGGGAAGUAGGCGUCAUUCCCACCUACUGUAGCCCGUAUGACACUUCUUAAGCAGUCAUUUAAUGACGUUGUCAGCCCACUCCCCAAUCCCCACCCUCUGCGAGCAGCGACCUGCUGGAGGGCAGCAACUGGGGUUUAGCCGGGAGGUCCUAGUGCCUAGAACAGCGUCUCUGAUAAAAUACUGAAUAUAGGAGAAAAUGGGAAAUCUGCAGCGUUGCAAUAGCAGAGCAUUUGAGCACCUACUAUGUCUCAGGCACUGGGCCACACUCUACAAAGAUUCAGUUAAGCCUCACCCAGUGUAAGAGGAUAUAAAAUGAUGCCUUGGGGGCUACUAAAGUUCAGAGGCAACCCUUCCUUGAAAGAUGCUGUCCCAACACAAAACUCCCUGCAAGUUUCUCCUGUUAAGAUGACUAUGAACAGCUUGCCCUUACACUGCCUGUUAAACUCCUCAAUCAUCAUCUGUCGUAGGUGAUGUCGUCUCUCCAGUGCUUCGAUCAGCCUGGGAAGAGUCUGCUCAUCAUUGACAUCCAGAAGUUCGCAGGAUGGCAAAGGUGGGAAACUCUGUAAAACCACUUCUGAAACCAGCGGUUCUGUAUGGAGUUGUUUAAAAAAAAAAAGUUACACAGGAGAGAAAGAGUUAUUCAAACAAGUUUAACACUGGUGAGAGCCCCAGUCCAAUUAACAGUGUACUUUGUUGGGCUCAUCAUAUUUCCUUAAAAAUGAGUUAUAUGAGUUGUAAAGAAGAAAAAAUGAAAAAAUGUCAGUAUAUAAUAAAAGAAAUGUGAUUUAUA
Molecule: long non-coding RNA, 895 nt
Organism: Bubalus bubalis (water buffalo)
Lineage: Eukaryota; Metazoa; Chordata; Mammalia; Artiodactyla; Bovidae
Exons: 2
Source: RefSeq, a predicted model, not a curated record